ACGGGUGAGUAACACGUGAGUAACCUGCCCUUGACUCUGGGAUAAGCCUGGGAAACUGGGUCUAAUACCGGAUAUGACUGUCUGACGCAUGUCAGGUGGUGGAAAGCUUUUGUGGUUUUGGAUGGACUCGCGGCCUAUCAGCUUGUUGGUGGGGUAAUGGCCUACCAAGGCGACGACGGGUAGCCGGCCUGAGAGGGUGACCGGCCACACUGGGACUGAGACACGGCCCAGACUCCUACGGGAGGCAGCAGUGGGGAAUAUUGCACAAUGGGCGCAAGCCUGAUGCAGCGACGCCGCGUGAGGGAUGACGGCCUUCGGGUUGUAAACCUCUUUCAGUAGGGAAGAAGCGAAAGUGACGGUACCUGCAGAAGAAGCGCCGGCUAACUACGUGCCAGCAGCCGCGGUAAUACGUAGGGCGCAAGCGUUAUCCGGAAUUAUUGGGCGUAAAGAGCUCGUAGGCGGUUUGUCGCGUCUGCUGUGAAAGACCGGGGCUCAACUCCGGUUCUGCAGUGGGUACGGGCAGACUAGAGUGAUGUAGGGGAGACUGGAAUUCCUGGUGUAGCGGUGAAAUGCGCAGAUAUCAGGAGGAACACCGAUGGCGAAGGCAGGUCUCUGGGCAUUAACUGACGCUGAGGAGCGAAAGCAUGGGGAGCGAACAGGAUUAGAUACCCUGGUAGUCCAUGCCGUAAACGUUGGGCACUAGGUGUGGGGGACAUUCCACGUUUUCCGCGCCGUAGCUAACGCAUUAAGUGCCCCGCCUGGGGAGUACGGCCGCAAGGCUAAAACUCAAAGGAAUUGACGGGGGCCCGCACAAGCGGCGGAGCAUGCGGAUUAAUUCGAUGCAACGCGAAGAACCUUACCAAGGCUUGACAUGAACCGGUAAUACCUGGAAACAGGUGCCCCGCUUGCGGUCGGUUUACAGGUGGUGCAUGGUUGUCGUCAGCUCGUGUCGUGAGAUGUUGGGUUAAGUCCCGCAACGAGCGCAACCCUCGUUCUAUGUUGCCAGCGCGUUAUGGCGGGGACUCAUAGGAGACUGCCGGGGUCAACUCGGAGGAAGGUGGGGACGACGUCAAAUCAUCAUGCCCCUUAUGUCUUGGGCUUCACGCAUGCUACAAUGGCCGGUACAAAGGGUUGCGAUACUGUGAGGUGGAGCUAAUCCCAAAAAGCCGGUCUCAGUUCGGAUUGGGGUCUGCAACUCGACCCCAUGAAGUCGGAGUCGCUAGUAAUCGCAGAUCAGCAACGCUGCGGUGAAUACGUUCCCGGGCCUUGUACACACCGCCCGUCAAGUCACGAAAGUUGGUAACA
This 1305-nucleotide ribosomal RNA is filed under the name Paenarthrobacter sp. Its description in RNAcentral is "bacterial SSU rRNA". It matches the Rfam family "Bacterial small subunit ribosomal RNA", at positions 102 to 1419 of the family's 1533-position model. The record is from RNAcentral. Lineage: Bacteria; Bacillati; Actinomycetota; Actinomycetes; Micrococcales; Micrococcaceae.